This 57-nucleotide transfer RNA is filed under the name Cylicocyclus nassatus. Its description in RNAcentral is "tRNA-Tyr". The record is from RNAcentral. Lineage: Eukaryota; Metazoa; Nematoda; Chromadorea; Rhabditida; Strongylidae.
AAGAAUAUAGUUUAAAUAAAAAUGUUAGAUUGUAAAUCUAGAGUUGAUUUAUUCUUG